Molecule: ribosomal RNA, 497 nt
Filed under: uncultured bacterium
Lineage: Bacteria
Description: partial 16S ribosomal RNA
Rfam family: Bacterial small subunit ribosomal RNA
Source: RNAcentral
GAUGAACGCUGGCGGCGUGCCUAAUACAUGCAAGUCGAGCGAACGGACGAGAAGCUUGCUUCUCUGAUGUUAGCGGCGGACGGGUGAGUAACACGUGGAUAACCUACCUAUAAGACUGGGAUAACUUCGGGAAACCGGAGCUAAUACCGGAUAAUAUUGUGAACCGCAUGGUUCAAAAGUGAAAGACGGUCUUGCUGUCACUUAUAGAUGGAUCCGCGCUGCAUUAGCUAGUUGGUAAGGUAACGGCUUACCAAGGCAACGAUGCAUAGCCGACCUGAGAGGGUGAUCGGCCACACUGGAACUGAGACACGGUCCAGACUCCUACGGGAGGCAGCAGUAGGGAAUCUUGCGCAAUGGGCGAAAGCCUGACGGAGCAACGCCGCGUGAGUGAUGAAGGUCUUCGGAUCGUAAAACUCUGUUAUUAGGGAAGAACAUAUGUGUAAGUAACUGUGCACAUCUUGACGGUACCUAAUCAGAAAGCCACGGCUAACUACGUG